UAAAAAGAUUAUUUAUUUUAGGGAGGGAGUGAGCCAGCGGGGUGGGGAGGGGCCAAUGAAGAGGGAUAGAAUCCUGAAGCCAACUCCUCACUGAGUAUGGAGCCCAACUCGGGGUUCCAGGCUCUAUUCCAUGACUCUGAGAUCAUGACUUGAGCUGAAAUCAAGAGUUGGAUGCUUAACUGACUGAGCCACCAAGGCACCCUCAUUAAGUGAUUUUUAAGGAAUCUGAAUCUUGAACUUUCCGAAGAGAGGAUCUGGGCUUCAGAGUUCUUACCAGCAAGAAACAGUGUUACCGUAACACAUACAGGAGCAGUUCAGCAAUCUCCUCUGUCCUGGGACCAGGAGAACAGAGGAGGGACGAGCAAGCAGAUCCCCAGAUAGAUUGAUUCAUCAGAGUUGUGUACUGCACAUUUUAAACUUGAGGUUAGUUUGGAAAAAAAAAUGUUGAUAGGCAAUCUUUAUGCAGCCUAUAGCAGGUAAUGGGA
This 485-nucleotide long non-coding RNA is filed under the name Canis lupus familiaris (dog). RNAcentral describes it as "lncRNA (ENSCAFG00805010632.1, ENSCAFG00845008399.1)". Lineage: Eukaryota; Metazoa; Chordata; Mammalia; Carnivora; Canidae. The record is from RNAcentral.